Long non-coding RNA from Clupea harengus (Atlantic herring), 1341 nucleotides. RefSeq lists it as uncharacterized. The record is from RefSeq and is a predicted model, not a curated record. NCBI's taxonomy places the organism in Eukaryota, Metazoa, Chordata, Actinopteri, Clupeiformes, Clupeidae. The transcript is spliced from 3 exons.
CUCGUGUCUGUUCAGUAGGCUACUGUGUAACAAAAUCCUUUUGAAUGGACGAGACAAAAGUAGACAGUAGUUUUCCCAGACUAAUGGAGAAGGAGGAGUUUUCACAAUGGGAAGUAAAGGAGGUCGUUGUGUAACUUGCGCUGGGAAUGUUCGCUCAGCUGUUCAAGCAAGCCACGCACCCCUCUGGAACAGUUCUCACAGGAAUUUUACAUUGUCCAGAUUCAGUAGUGAUCAACACAGAGGCCUUUCGUGGUGGACCUUUCUAUAAAACUCAGGGCUGUGGACCGACGAAACCUUUACGCAACACUUGGAUUGUUUUUUAAUAUUUUUUUAAAGAUUGUUUAUAUUGACUACUGUUUCGACAGGACGAGAAUCUCGAGAAACGACUGGACAAAAACAAAGUUCCUACAUGCUUAAUUUUGUUUCAAAUACGCUUUGAUUAAUGUCGGGGUUAUACUGACCAACGUAAUAGGCCUACCUCUCCUCUUUUCUUAUGAGAAUGGGAAGCACAGCGAUGGAGGGGAGGCUGUCUAACAUUUUACAGAAGUAUCAACAACGCCUUUAACAUGGGGAGCGGGAACAGCAGAGGGAAAAAGGUUGCACCUGCAUCCGAAACUGACGCUGACGAUGUCAAUACUGAUUCUGUCCCAGCCGACGGGAACAACAUAAGCUUGGUAGAGCCAUUUAGAGUUACGGCAUGUACUAACUUAAGUUUGGUUCGUAAAAAGACUCGACCCGACUGUCAGAGCGAAGGGCAAAAUUCCGAAUGGUCCACUGACUUAGAAGGUGAGCUGGAUGAGAUGAAUGCCGAAUCCGACGGAAAGGAAAGUAAUGCAAACAAAAGAAGUUCUGUUAAGAAACAAUUCUUCAGCUCAAAAACAUUUGGCCUGUGCAAUUACAUACGGGUGCAAAAUGAUAAGCAUGUGGCCUCAACUCACCAAUUGUCAAAUGCCGGACUCCGUAGUGGAUCGUGCUCUCAUGCACAAUCUGAAAUGAGCGUAAAAGAAAAACAAGUCUCCAACAAGCCUUUGGGGAAAAUCUCAUGUGCCAGCACAAGUCAACACCAAGGUUGGUUGGUCAACGUGUGUCCGGUAACACAAUCCGAAGAUGCAGCAUUAGUUCCAGACAAUUGUACUGGCCCAUCUCUCAACAAGUCUGUAAUCUUGUAUGACGCCACAGAAGAGGACCUCAUGAAAACUAUUGAGAGAGAAUUUAGUUAAACUUAUAACUGAAUUGCAUAUUAGAACAAAGAGCAAAAUCCCCUUGCCUAACUGGUAACCCAGCCAAGGUCCUGUUUAAUUGUAUGUGUUGCAUCAUUGAAUGAAGAUCAUAUUACAACAA